This 460-nucleotide ribosomal RNA is filed under the name uncultured bacterium. Its description in RNAcentral is "partial 16S ribosomal RNA". It matches the Rfam family "Bacterial small subunit ribosomal RNA", at positions 338 to 795 of the family's 1533-position model. The record is from RNAcentral.
CCUACGGGUGGCAGCAGUGAGGAAUAUUGGUCAAUGGACGCAAGUCUGAACCAGCCAUGCCGCGUGCAGGAUGACGGCUCUAUGAGUUGUAAACUGCUUUUGUACGAGGGUAAACCCAGAUACGUGUAUCUGGCUGAAAGUAUCGUACGAAUAAGGAUCGGCUAACUCCGUGCCAGCAGCCGCGGUAAUACGGAGGAUCCGAGCGUUAUCCGGAUUUAUUGGGUUUAAAGGGUGCGUAGGCGGUGUGAUAAGUUAGAGGUGAAAUCCCGAGGCUCAACCUCGAAAUUGCCUCUAAUACUGUUCGACUAGAGAAUAGUUGCGGUAGGAGGAAUGUAUGGUGUAGCGGUGAAAUGCUUAGAGAUCAUACAGAACACCGAUUGCGAAGGCAGCUUACCAAGCUAUAUCUGACGUUGAGGCACGAAAGCGUGGGGAGCAAACAGGAUUAGAUACCCGGGUAGUC